GCAGGUUUCUGGCUCCUGUAAUUAUCAUGGCUUAUAAAAUGGUUUCGUUUGUCGCGUCUGUUUUGGCUUUUUCCUCUUGGACCUAUUAUUUUCCAGGUGAUAAACCAGCACAUCCAGGGAUGGUUCAUUUUCCACUGGAAAUGCAGUCAAUGAAAAAGGUGGAAGAACAGGGAAGGAAAUUAAAAGAGCAGCAGAUGAAUGUAGUUUUAAAACAGAAAGAAGACUUUAAAACAGAACCUGUAAUAGACGUGACUGCGAUUCAUCGCUCAGAAGAACUGUUCUUCACGUCUGCAGUCUCCACUUUGAGUGGACCUCUCCCUCUGGACACAGUGGUCACCAUUCUUCUGAUGCACAUGUGUGGAGCUGAUCUGGUGGCAGCCAUGUCUGCAGGGAUUCUCCAUCUUCUCCUUCAGUGUCUUCAUGGACUUGGUGUUUGGGAUGAUCACUCUUAAUUACAUCAACAAGAUCAAGAGUGAGAGAGAAGAAUUACGGAAAACAAACUGUGAGCUUCAGAGGAAGCUCCAGCUGACGGAGCAGGACUGCAGAGAUGAAGCUGCAACGCUGCAGGAAGUGAAGAACAAACUGAAGACCUGGAUGCAUCACAUCAGAGUC
Long non-coding RNA from Poeciliopsis prolifica (blackstripe livebearer), 612 nucleotides. RefSeq lists it as uncharacterized. The transcript is spliced from 5 exons. Lineage: Eukaryota; Metazoa; Chordata; Actinopteri; Cyprinodontiformes; Poeciliidae. The record is from RefSeq and is a predicted model, not a curated record.